UGCAACGCGAAGAACCUUACCCGGUCUUGACAUCCCGGAGACCCUUAGGAAACUAGGGGUGCUUCCAUCUGGAAGAAUCUGGAGACAGGUGCUGCAUGGCUGUCGUCAGCUCGUGUCGUGAGAUGUUGGGUUAAGUCCCGCAACGAGCGCAACCCUUGCCUUUAGUUGCCAGCAGUUCGGCUGGGCACUCUAAAGGGACUGCCGGUGUUAAACCGGAGGAAGGUGGGGGAUGACGUCAAGUCCUCAUGGCCUUUAUGACCAGGGCUACACACGUACUACAAUGGCCGAUACAAAGGGCAGCGACACUGCGAGGUGAAGCCAAUCCCGUAAAAUCGGUCUCAGUCCGGAUUGGAGUCUGCAACUCGACUCCAUGAAGUUGGAAUCGCUAGUAAUCGUGGAUCAGCAUGCCACGGUGAAUACGUUCCCGGGCCUU
Molecule: ribosomal RNA, 433 nt
Filed under: uncultured Desulfobulbus sp.
Lineage: Bacteria; Pseudomonadati; Thermodesulfobacteriota; Desulfobulbia; Desulfobulbales; Desulfobulbaceae
Description: bacterial SSU rRNA
Rfam family: Bacterial small subunit ribosomal RNA
Source: RNAcentral